Molecule: ribosomal RNA, 481 nt
Filed under: uncultured bacterium
Lineage: Bacteria
Description: partial 16S ribosomal RNA
Rfam family: Bacterial small subunit ribosomal RNA
Source: RNAcentral
GACGAACGCUGGCGGCGUGCUUAACACAUGCAAGUCGAACGGGAUCCGGGCUUUCGGGUUUGGUGAGAGUGGCGAACGGGUGAGUAACACGUGAGUAACCUGCCCCCUUCUUUGGGAUAACGUCGGGAAAUCGGCGCUAAUACUGGAUAUUCUUGCUGCAUCGCAUGGUGUGGUUUGGAAAGGGUUUCUGGUGGGGGAUGGGCUCGCGGCCUAUCAGCUUGUUGGUGGGGUGAUGGCCUACCAAGGCUUUGACGGGUAGCCGGCCUGAGGGGGUGUCCGGCCACACUGGGACUGAGACACGGCCCAGACUCCUACGGGAGGCAGCAGUGGGGAAUAUUGCACAAUGGGCGCAAGCCUGAUGCAGCGACGCCGCGUGAGGGAUGACGGCCUUCGGGUUGUAAACCUCUUUCAGUAUGGAACAAGGAUCCUUCUUUUGGGGGGUUUGAGGGUACGUGCAGAAGAAGCGCCGGCUAACUACGUG